RNAcentral lists this ribosomal RNA (305 nucleotides) under uncultured bacterium. Its description in RNAcentral is "bacterial SSU rRNA". It matches the Rfam family "Bacterial small subunit ribosomal RNA", at positions 333 to 655 of the family's 1533-position model. The record is from RNAcentral.
AAGUUCCUACGGGAGGCAGCAGUGGGGAAUAUUGCACAAUGGGGGAAACCCUGAUGCAGCAACGCCGCGUGAGUGAAGAAGUAAUUCGGUAUGUAAAGCUCUAUCAGCAGGGAAGAAAAUGACGGUACCUGAGUAAGAAGCCCCGGCUAACUACGUGCCAGCAGCCGCGGUAAUACGUAGGGGGCAAGCGUUACCCGGAUUUACUGGGUGUAAAGGGAGCGUAGACGGCGAUGCAAGUCUGAAGUGAAAGCCCGGGGCUCAACCCCGGGACUGCUUUGGAAACUACCGAACUAGAGUGUCGGAGG